Molecule: transfer RNA, 74 nt
Filed under: Eubacterium sp.
Lineage: Bacteria; Bacillati; Bacillota; Clostridia; Eubacteriales; Eubacteriaceae
Description: tRNA-Leu
Rfam family: tRNA
About the family: Transfer RNA (tRNA) molecules are approximately 80 nucleotides in length. Their secondary structure includes four short double-helical elements and three loops (D, anti-codon, and T loops). Further hydrogen bonds mediate the characteristic L-shaped molecular structure. tRNAs have two regions of fundamental functional importance: the anti-codon, which is responsible for specific mRNA codon recognition, and the 3' end, to which the tRNAs corresponding amino acid is attached (by aminoacyl-tRNA synthetases). tRNAs cope with the degeneracy of the genetic code in two manners: having more than one tRNA (with a specific anti-codon) for a particular amino acid; and 'wobble' base-pairing, i.e. permitting non-standard base-pairing at the 3rd anti-codon position.
Source: RNAcentral
CCCCUUGUAAUCCAAUUGGCAGAGAUAGCGCUCUUAAACAGCGUCCAGUGCUGGUUCGAAUCCAGUUAAGGGGA